AUCAGAAGUGCGAAUGCUGACAUAAGUAACGAUAAAGCGGGUGAAAAGCCCGCUCGCCGGAAGACCAAGGGUUCCUGUCCAACGUUAAUCGGGGCAGGGUGAGUCGACCCCUAAGGCGAGGCCGAAAGGCGUAGUCGAUGGGAAACAGGUUAAUAUUCCUGUACUUGGUGUUACUGCGAAGGGGGGACGGAGAAGGCUAUGUUAGCCGGGCGACGGUUGUCCCGGUUUAAGCAUGUAGGCUGGUUGUCCAGGCAAAUCCGGAUAAUCAAGGCUGAGGUGUGAUGACGAGGCACUACGGUGCUGAAGUAACAAAUGCCCUGCUUCCAGGAAAAGCCUCUAAGCAUCAGGUAACAUCAAAUCGUACCCCAAACCGACACAGGUGGUCAGGUAGAGAAUACCAAGGCGCUUGAGAGAACUCGGGUGAAGGAACUAGGCAAAAUGGUGCCGUAACUUCGGGAGAAGG
Molecule: ribosomal RNA, 463 nt
Filed under: Klebsiella pneumoniae
Lineage: Bacteria; Pseudomonadati; Pseudomonadota; Gammaproteobacteria; Enterobacterales; Enterobacteriaceae
Description: partial 23S ribosomal RNA
Rfam family: Bacterial large subunit ribosomal RNA
Source: RNAcentral